GGGCCAGUAGCUCAGUCUGGUUAGAGCACCUGCCUUUUAAGCAGGGUGUCGGAGGUUCGAAUCCUCCCUGGCUCACCA
RNAcentral lists this transfer RNA (78 nucleotides) under candidate division WWE3 bacterium RIFCSPLOWO2_01_FULL_39_13. RNAcentral describes it as "tRNA-Lys". It matches the Rfam family "tRNA". Rfam says of the family: Transfer RNA (tRNA) molecules are approximately 80 nucleotides in length. Their secondary structure includes four short double-helical elements and three loops (D, anti-codon, and T loops). Further hydrogen bonds mediate the characteristic L-shaped molecular structure. tRNAs have two regions of fundamental functional importance: the anti-codon, which is responsible for specific mRNA codon recognition, and the 3' end, to which the tRNAs corresponding amino acid is attached (by aminoacyl-tRNA synthetases). tRNAs cope with the degeneracy of the genetic code in two manners: having more than one tRNA (with a specific anti-codon) for a particular amino acid; and 'wobble' base-pairing, i.e. permitting non-standard base-pairing at the 3rd anti-codon position. The record is from RNAcentral. Lineage: Bacteria; candidate division WWE3.